This 1515-nucleotide ribosomal RNA is filed under the name Ruminococcus sp. KGMB03662. RNAcentral describes it as "bacterial SSU rRNA". It matches the Rfam family "Bacterial small subunit ribosomal RNA". The record is from RNAcentral. Lineage: Bacteria; Bacillati; Bacillota; Clostridia; Eubacteriales; Oscillospiraceae.
UUAAUUAAGAGUUUGAUCCUGGCUCAGGACGAACGCUGGCGGCACGCUUAACACAUGCAAGUCGAACGAGAGAAGAGAAGCUUGCUUUUCUGAUCUAGUGGCGGACGGGUGAGUAACACGUGAGCAAUCUGCCUUUCAGAGGGGGAUACCGAUUGGAAACGAUCGUUAAUACCGCAUAACAUAAUUGAACCGCAUGAUUUGAUUAUCAAAGAUUUAUCGCUGAAAGAUGAGCUCGCGUCUGAUUAGCUAGUUGGUAAGGUAACGGCUUACCAAGGCGACGAUCAGUAGCCGGACUGAGAGGUUGAUCGGCCACAUUGGGACUGAGACACGGCCCAGACUCCUACGGGAGGCAGCAGUGGGGAAUAUUGCACAAUGGAGGAAACUCUGAUGCAGCGAUGCCGCGUGAGGGAAGAAGGUUUUAGGAUUGUAAACCUCUGUCUUCAGGGACGAAAAAUGACGGUACCUGAGGAGGAAGCUCCGGCUAACUACGUGCCAGCAGCCGCGGUAAUACGUAGGGAGCGAGCGUUGUCCGGAAUUACUGGGUGUAAAGGGAGCGUAGGCGGGAUCGCAAGUCAGAUGUGAAAACUAUGGGCUUAACCCAUAAACUGCAUUUGAAACUGUGGUUCUUGAGUGAAGUAGAGGUAAGCGGAAUUCCUAGUGUAGCGGUGAAAUGCGUAGAUAUUAGGAGGAACAUCAGUGGCGAAGGCGGCUUACUGGGCUUUAACUGACGCUGAGGCUCGAAAGCGUGGGGAGCAAACAGGAUUAGAUACCCUGGUAGUCCACGCCGUAAACGAUGAUUACUAGGUGUGGGGGGACUGACCCCUUCCGUGCCGCAGCAAACGCAAUAAGUAAUCCACCUGGGGAGUACGACCGCAAGGUUGAAACUCAAAGGAAUUGACGGGGGCCCGCACAAGCAGUGGAGUAUGUGGAUUAAUUCGAAGCAACGCGAAGAACCUUACCAGGUCUUGACAUCGUAUGCAUAGCUCAGAGAUGAGUGAAAUCUCUUCGGAGACAUAUAGACAGGUGGUGCAUGGUUGUCGUCAGCUCGUGUCGUGAGAUGUUGGGUUAAGUCCCGCAACGAGCGCAACCCUUACUGUUAGUUGCUACGCAAGAGCACUCUAGCAGGACUGCCGUUGACAAAACGGAGGAAGGUGGGGAUGACGUCAAAUCAUCAUGCCCCUUAUGACCUGGGCCUCACACGUACUACAAUGGCUGUCAACAGAGGGAUGCAAAGCCGCGAGGUAGAGCGAAACCCUAAAAGCAGUCUUAGUUCGGAUUGUAGGCUGCAACCCGCCUACAUGAAGUCGGAAUUGCUAGUAAUCGCAGAUCAGCAUGCUGCGGUGAAUACGUUCCCGGGCCUUGUACACACCGCCCGUCACGCCAUGGGAGUCGGUAACACCCGAAGCCUGUAGUCUAACCGCAAGGAGGAUGCAGUCGAAGGUGGGAUUGAUGACUGGGGUGAAGUCGUAACAAGGUAGCCGUAUCGGAAGGUGCGGCUGGAUCACCUCCUUUCUA